UAAGGCGCUUCCAGCAAGGGGCUGUGUCUGCAGUGGACUCUGACUGCCCCUCAGUGCUGCGAUUGGAUGUAACAGACGAAGACCAGGCGUCAUCAAGGUCAAUGCGUUCUUCCUGGCUAUGUCUUGACCACCAGGGCUGCUGAUGCCACACACCUGGGAAGAGCGCUCGGCUUAUCAUGCCUGGCAUCACAACGAAGAACAUGGGCAAAAGUUUCAGGUACCCCCCAAGUACAGACCCUCCCUUGGCAUGGGACAGGUUCUUAGCAGCAAGAGACCUCUGCACUAUCACCUAGCACAGAUCAGAAUGCAGGUAUCAAAAAGUGGCAGGGGAUGAGUUUAUAUAGUGUUCCGGAAAGAACUCUUGUGUAUUUGUGUAUAUAAUGUACAUAUACAUACAUAUUAUAAAUGAACUUCUAACACAACAAUGUAGUUAUUUGUCCAAUGGGACAGUUCAAUCACGUUUGUGAAUGGAUAUGGCUGUGUGGCUCACCUGGUCAGUACACCAGACCCACGUGGCCAGCACAGUGAGGCCGAACACCAGGCCUGGCCAGGGUAUGUCCCCCGUCACUGGAUCUCUGAAGAGGUGGAAGGCGUCAGGGCGUGGCAGGUGGCACGUGGUAUUGGGCACCGUGGCAGAGGGCACCGCCGCUGCAUACUGCUCUUGCAGACCCUCGUACCAUCCCACCUUGUCAAAUGCUGUGGGAAGGACACAGCUUGCACAUCAACAUAAAACAUUUCUCCAGAAAUAAAAUAUUUUUCCCCAAUAUCCUGAAAGAUUUAAUGAUGCAAAGCUGCUGAUGUAACUGUACAAUAAUUGUUUAUUACUGUGCAGGAAAAUUGACGGUACCUAUGAACAUGAGAACAAAUGCUCCUAUCACCAUGAUGACAGUCUGUAGGGCGUCUGUGUAGAUGACUGCAGUUAGCCCACCUGAAACACAAACAGGAACGUGUACAUUGGACUCAUCCACUGAAUUGCAAUAAACUCAGUUAUUCCAAACAAACUUCCUACUUGAGAGAGAGGCAGUGUGAAAUGGUCAGCACCUGCUAUGGUAAAGACUGCAGUCACCAGUAGCAACACUGCAGUGGAGAGGUACAGGUCCCAACCGAGAGACACCUGAAUGAACAGAGCUCCAGAGAAGAUGUCUGUCUGAGGGGGCACAAUAAAUUAAAUUUUACUUGACUUGCAAACAGAACUAUAUCUUAGAAUAUGAGAACAUCUUAAAUUUCACCUAAAUCCACAAUGGUCAAUCACAAUUUGCAAUAAACCUGCAUUGUAGUACAAAAUGUUUUAAAAUCCUCUUAAGCAUUUGUCUGGAAUUAAUACACUUAUAACUGCAAUCAAAGCUUUUUCUUCUGGAUUAACCACUGCAAAACAGAUGACACCUGAGUCAGUAUGCUACAUAUUGUUGACCUUUAUGCUCCAAGUGUUGACAUGGUUUGCUAUUUUUGUUUUGUGUGAAGCUUCCUGGAACUCACAAUUUCUAGGUAAGUUAAACUGACGCCAGGCAGUGCUUUUUAGCCUUACCGAUAUCUUGGUGAAAAUGUAGAGGAUGAGAGACAGGACUGAAAUGUAGAUUCGGAUGCGCUGGCCUCCAAACCUCUUCCUCAGAUACUCUGGCAUGGUGACCACGCCAGCAGCGAUGUAAACAGGGACAAAAAUCCAGCCCAGGGCAAUGAGGACCCAGGCUGCCUGAGAAACAGGAAACCUUUCUCAUCUCUCACACACGCAACAAAUUCAGUUUUGGCUGCCUGGCUAUGGAGGACUGUGUAGCAGAAGACAAGAGUCUGCAGGAUGGAGAGCCAGUGCAGUGGAGAUGAACUGAAAGAAGGGAAAGUCCUGUGCCAUAUUCACAGAACUGCUUUGCGACACCAUAGCAGCACACUACUGCUUUUGAAAACUCCAUGUUACACAUUUGAGAUAUUUCAAACAUUUAUCUGUAUGCACGGUUUAGUGUUUGCCAAGGUAAGGCUAAUUAAAUCAAUUGAAUGGAAGUUUCAUUCACGUUCUCCAAUUCCAGGAUAGAAUGUGAUUAAUUUUACUAAGACAAACAAGCCUCUGCCUCUUGAUAAUAUAACUCAGAGCGCUAGAAUUAACCACUAGAGGGCAGACGCCUAAAGGUUUUGAGGGUAAAUGAUAAGCGCUUAGCACUUAUGUAUUAAAAGUCACAAUCAACAAACUUCACCCAUGACCAGCAAAAAAAAUUUUUUUUAAGCCUCAUAAAUUCAGGCCACUAUCUAAUUUGAUACAACGGAAUCUGUUUUCAUAUAUUA
Long non-coding RNA from Anguilla rostrata (American eel), 2271 nucleotides. RefSeq lists it as uncharacterized. The record is from RefSeq and is a predicted model, not a curated record. The transcript has 3 exons. Lineage: Eukaryota; Metazoa; Chordata; Actinopteri; Anguilliformes; Anguillidae.